Long non-coding RNA from Silurus meridionalis, 398 nucleotides. RefSeq lists it as uncharacterized. The record is from RefSeq and is a predicted model, not a curated record. The transcript has 2 exons. NCBI's taxonomy places the organism in Eukaryota, Metazoa, Chordata, Actinopteri, Siluriformes, Siluridae.
AAAAAAAAGGUGAGAGAGUAAGACACCGGAGCUGCUGAACUAACAAAGUUGGAAACACAUCAGAAAGACAUGGACAUCGCCUCUGACGAACGGAGAUUUAAGUUGUGGUUUACUGCGCCAUGUGCUGAGACUUUGCUAAUGGACCGGCGGAUAGCUAGCUCAACUAGCGGGGACUACGUGUGGCGAAGGAGUAUCACUUGAAGCAUCCAAGCUCUGUCUGUGUUUUACAUCGACCCUUUUUUCUGUGACGCGUGCACAGUGUGCCAACAAACUUCAUACCAGGUACUAUUUUCCGUUUGUUGCCCUCGUGGUGAAGUAGCCCUUUUGUUUGGUUUCUACGAACCCCAGCUACGUACAGGCCUGCAACUGGUAUACUGAUUAAAGUUUCAUUUACUUUU